This 871-nucleotide ribosomal RNA is filed under the name Bacillus aerophilus. RNAcentral describes it as "bacterial SSU rRNA". It matches the Rfam family "Bacterial small subunit ribosomal RNA", at positions 75 to 930 of the family's 1533-position model. Lineage: Bacteria; Bacillati; Bacillota; Bacilli; Caryophanales; Bacillaceae. The record is from RNAcentral.
GGAGCUUGCUCCCGGAUGUUAGCGGCGGACGGGUGAGUAACACGUGGGUAACCUGCCUGUAAGACUGGGAUAACUCCGGGAAACCGGAGCUAAUACCGGAUAGUUCCUUGAACCGCAUGGUUCAAGGAUGAAAGACGGUUUCGGCUGUCACUUACAGAUGGACCCGCGGCGCAUUAGCUAGUUGGUGAGGUAACGGCUCACCAAGGCGACGAUGCGUAGCCGACCUGAGAGGGUGAUCGGCCACACUGGGACUGAGACACGGCCCAGACUCCUACGGGAGGCAGCAGUAGGGAAUCUUCCGCAAUGGACGAAAGUCUGACGGAGCAACGCCGCGUGAGUGAUGAAGGUUUUCGGAUCGUAAAGCUCUGUUGUUAGGGAAGAACAAGUGCAAGAGUAACUGCUUGCACCUUGACGGUACCUAACCAGAAAGCCACGGCUAACUACGUGCCAGCAGCCGCGGUAAUACGUAGGUGGCAAGCGUUGUCCGGAAUUAUUGGGCGUAAAGGGCUCGCAGGCGGUUUCUUAAGUCUGAUGUGAAAGCCCCCGGCUCAACCGGGGAGGGUCAUUGGAAACUGGGAAACUUGAGUGCAGAAGAGGAGAGUGGAAUUCCACGUGUAGCGGUGAAAUGCGUAGAGAUGUGGAGGAACACCAGUGGCGAAGGCGACUCUCUGGUCUGUAACUGACGCUGAGGAGCGAAAGCGUGGGGAGCGAACAGGAUUAGAUACCCUGGUAGUCCACGCCGUAAACGAUGAGUGCUAAGUGUUAGGGGGUUUCCGCCCCUUAGUGCUGCAGCUAACGCAUUAAGCACUCCGCCUGGGGAGUACGGUCGCAAGACUGAAACUCAAAGGAAUUGACGGGGGCCCGCACAAGC